Molecule: transfer RNA, 73 nt
Filed under: Loxodonta africana (African savanna elephant)
Lineage: Eukaryota; Metazoa; Chordata; Mammalia; Proboscidea; Elephantidae
Rfam family: tRNA
About the family: Transfer RNA (tRNA) molecules are approximately 80 nucleotides in length. Their secondary structure includes four short double-helical elements and three loops (D, anti-codon, and T loops). Further hydrogen bonds mediate the characteristic L-shaped molecular structure. tRNAs have two regions of fundamental functional importance: the anti-codon, which is responsible for specific mRNA codon recognition, and the 3' end, to which the tRNAs corresponding amino acid is attached (by aminoacyl-tRNA synthetases). tRNAs cope with the degeneracy of the genetic code in two manners: having more than one tRNA (with a specific anti-codon) for a particular amino acid; and 'wobble' base-pairing, i.e. permitting non-standard base-pairing at the 3rd anti-codon position.
Source: Rfam by way of RNAcentral
GCAUGGGUACCUCAGUUGGUAGAUCAUCAGAUUUUUAAUUUGAAGGUCCAGGGUUCAAGUCCCUAUUCAGGCU